Molecule: long non-coding RNA, 995 nt
Organism: Sphaerodactylus townsendi
Lineage: Eukaryota; Metazoa; Chordata; Lepidosauria; Squamata; Sphaerodactylidae
Exons: 3
Source: RefSeq, a predicted model, not a curated record
UCAUAGAAAACAACACUGAGCUGGAUGCGCCAAGGGCAUAAAGCAGCGUCACAUAUUCAUAUUGGUUUCCCUUUGCGGUCUAUCUACUGUGCACGAAGAAGUUGCUGGGUUUGGCCUCUGCAUCUCCAGUUCUAGGAUCUCCAGAAGCAGAUUUGGAGAACAUCUUUCUGUGCCUGAGACUUGGGAAGGCACUGCCAUUCAGCAGGGAGGCAUCUUGCAGCCUUACAUGGAGUCCUGCCCUUCAGAGGAGCCAUUUUCUCCAGGAGAACUGAUCUUUGGAGAUGAGUUGUCUUUUCCAGGAGUCCUCCAGGCCUCACCUGAAGGCUGGCAACCCUACAGCUGAUAGUGGCAUUGACUGUGCUGUGCUGUUGGGGAAGGGCCAGUGCCUUUACUGUGCCAGCUGGUAAGGACCAGAUCAAUCAAGUUUGCUAGGGAGAAAAAGAAAGAAGAAGAAAACAUCAGACAACGGCAAGUUGAUCCAAGCAAGACCUGAGAUGCUAAAUCCAAUCUGAGCUCCUCUUCACCUUGGCUAAAUCCUAGUCAGCCCAAGUUUGGCAAGGUGACUGCACAAGGUUUUCGCUGCUUUGCUAUGACACGCCACCAGAAGAGAAAUACCUGAUCCACAGGAAAAUGUGAAGGCUUCAUGAUUCAGUUUUAAGCCAAAUACUCUGCAUGCAACAUUCACAGCGUUCUUUUCUUGAUUGUCUUCAUUGACAUGGAGUCCAACGUGGGUGGUUUAAGGUCAAAGGACUUCAGUUUUGCAAGUCUUCUGAGCUGGCACAGGGAUUUUGUGAGGACCACGGGGAAGGGGUUGUUGGGCUGCCCCCGGAAGAAACGGGCCAUAAAAUCUGUGAAUUUUGAUUAAGAAUGUCAGUGUUUCGGGGGCGGAAGGAGGUUCUUUGCCAGAGAUUCUCUUUGAGCUGGCUUGCAGCUUGGAGUAUGUGGCAUAAUAACCAAGGGUGUCUGUGAGCAUGUGCAAAAUAAUGUGAUGUAUA